Molecule: transfer RNA, 519 nt
Filed under: uncultured Prochlorococcus sp.
Lineage: Bacteria; Bacillati; Cyanobacteriota; Cyanophyceae; Synechococcales; Prochlorococcaceae
Description: partial 16S-23S ribosomal RNA intergenic spacer
Rfam family: tRNA (bases 204-276)
Source: RNAcentral
CAGGGAGACACAAAAUGUUUUAAUAUUAUUAUUUUUCACCUUAGGUCGAUCGGUAUCUCACGUUCUUUAAUUUGUUAAGAAUUUCAUUUCCUAAGUUUUUCUAGGUACACCAUUAUUUUUCCUGGCAUUCUCGGUGUUAGAGCGCACCCCUGAUAAGGGUGAGGUCCCUGGUUCAAGUCCAGGAUGGCCCAUAUCUCUAUGUUGGGGGUAUAGCUCAGUUGGUAGAGCGCCUGCUUUGCAAGCAGGAUGUCAGCGGUUCGAGUCCGCUUACCUCCACUGAUUACCACCUCUUCCAUAACUGGUAGAAAGGAAAUGUUUUGAGUUGUGAUCAUUAUUCUGAACGAAUCUAGCUUCCUAAUGAAAUCAUUAAGAUGCUGGACUCAUUGAAUUAAUUUCAUUGUUUUCAGAGAACCUUGACAACUGCAUAGAUUUUUUUAAAGACAAUAAGCAUCUUUAAUGAUGCAGAUUUUUUAUUUGUGCGAAUGCAUUAAUAACAAUUCUAUUAAGCUGAUGCUUCAA